Molecule: long non-coding RNA, 721 nt
Filed under: Mustela putorius furo (domestic ferret)
Lineage: Eukaryota; Metazoa; Chordata; Mammalia; Carnivora; Mustelidae
Description: lncRNA (ENSMPUG00000027637.1)
Source: RNAcentral
GCUGUUGUCAACUAUUUCAACAACCCUAACUGGAAAACAGAAACAGAACUGAAAUUUCAGUGAAAGCCUGAACUACCUAAAAAUACAUUGAAGCCUUGUUUUUCUUUCUCGACAUGAAGGGACUGAUGAGUGGAACCACAACGCUGACUCUGAUGGAAAGGAGAACAGGAUGUGGGACUAAUUGUCUUUCUUCCUUCCUUAGCUCCAGCCACUCUGUCAUUACCCUGGCUAUCCCUUUCUCUGGGCUCAGAUUUCAGCAAUGUGCACAUCUACAACAUUUAUGGAAGAUUUUCACAGUGUAAUUCUCCUUGAUCUCAAGCCCUACGGUUCAUCCAUAUCAUGUUGCACUCAAGGAUCCUGCCAGCAGUGGGCAUCAAGAAAUACAGUAAUAACCACCAUCUUGUUACUUGAAGAUAUGAUGAUAAUUAUUUUAAAAAUCAUAAGAAAUGCUUUCCUUGCCCUACAGGUGAUGAGAUUAUACCUAUAUUUGAGUAAUUUAUUCCAUCCAUGCUUAAAAAUUAAGUCAAGCUUACCAUCAAAUUCUAGAUAUUUCUAUGUUCGUAGCUUUGUCUAUGACAUGAAUUCUGUGAACCAAGUAAAUUCAAUACAAUCUAUUGUGGAGAUUGCUGAAGUUGAAUGUAGAUUUUCCCAAGAAUUACAUCAUUUAUUUUAAUUUAGAGGAGUUUCUGACUUUUUUGUGGGGCUGGGUGUUUUUGUUGGG